RNAcentral lists this ribosomal RNA (440 nucleotides) under uncultured bacterium. RNAcentral's name for it is "partial 16S ribosomal RNA". It matches the Rfam family "Bacterial small subunit ribosomal RNA", at positions 338 to 795 of the family's 1533-position model. The record is from RNAcentral.
CCUACGGGAGGCAGCAGUGGGGAAUAUUGCACAAUGGGGGAAACCCUGAUGCAGCGACGCCGCGUGAGGGAAGAAGUAUUUCGGUAUGUAAAGCUCUAUCAGCAGGGAAGAAAAUGACGGUACCUGUUUAAGAAGCCCCGGCUAACUACGUGGCAGCAGGCGUGGUAACACGUAGGGGGCAAGCGUUAUCCGGAUUUACUGGGUGUAAAGGGAGCGUAGACGGCAGCACAAGUCUGGAGUGAAAUGCCGGGGCUUAACCCCGGAACUGCUUUGGAAACUGGGUAGCUAGAGUGCAGGAGAGGUAAGUGGAAUUCGUAGUGUAGCGGUGAAAUGCGUAGAUAUUAGGAGGAACACCAGUGGCGAAGGCAGCUUACUGGACUGUAACUGACGUUGAGGCUCGAAAGCGUGGGGAGCGAACAGGAUUAGAUACCCUAGUAGUC